Eucalyptus grandis is the source of this 339-nucleotide long non-coding RNA. RefSeq lists it as uncharacterized. The record is from RefSeq and is a predicted model, not a curated record. The transcript is spliced from 4 exons. Lineage: Eukaryota; Viridiplantae; Streptophyta; Magnoliopsida; Myrtales; Myrtaceae.
GUUAAUUAUAUGUUUCUUUUUAAUUUUGUACUUUUUUUGUGAAUUAGGAUCAAUUUCAUAAGCAUCUGUUAUUGGAGGCAGAGAGAAAGCAGUUGAGGCCCAUCAUAGAGAACAAGUCACGGAUCAUACUUGUUCAUACAAGCUCAGGAUACAAGCAUAGUUUAAAAGAGGUUUGAAUGCCCCAAAUGUCAUGAGUAUGAUAAAAGAUACUAAAGCAGCUCAAAGGUCCAAGCUCUCAAGGAUUUCUUCGACAUGCUCUCAAAUGACGAGACCGGGCAUGCUAUGGACCUAAGCAUGUGGAGGUGGCCCAUGAUAGAAUGGCUGUCCAGACACUCCUUA